AACGUAGGAGACGAACGUUAUCCGGAGUUACUGGGCGUAAAGGGCGUGUAGGCGGUUUGUUAAGUCUGGCGUGAAAGCUCUCGGCUAAACCGGGAGAGGUCGUUGGAUACUGGCGAACUAGAGGAUGGUAGAGGCGUGUGGAAUUCCGGGUGUAGUGGUGAAAUGCGUAGAGAUCCGGAGGAACACCAGUGGCGAAGGCGACACGCUGGGCCAUACCUGACGCUAAAGCGCGACAGCAUGGGGAGCAAACAGG
This 253-nucleotide ribosomal RNA is filed under the name uncultured bacterium. RNAcentral's name for it is "partial 16S ribosomal RNA". It matches the Rfam family "Bacterial small subunit ribosomal RNA", at positions 524 to 776 of the family's 1533-position model. The record is from RNAcentral.